CAUAUGACAUAAUUAUUAUUAGGAUAAUGAUACUUGCACGUCAAGUGAUAUUUACCCCUCACAUGGAGGGGGAUCUACUUCAGAUAUCCUCAUGUAUGAGGAGGGUGGACAUCAGGAUAGACACUCCGAUGUACAUGUAGCACAAUUCUAUAUAGUUUAAAGAUUUUAAUGUCACAAUUCUCACGUUAAUCCCUUAUUCACUAGAAAAAGGGAAAAUGAUGAGCAAUUGUGAAAAGGCAAUGGCAGUUGGUAUGGUCC
Molecule: long non-coding RNA, 258 nt
Filed under: Olea europaea (common olive)
Lineage: Eukaryota; Viridiplantae; Streptophyta; Magnoliopsida; Lamiales; Oleaceae
Description: long non-coding RNA (OEUR_LNC004105)
Source: RNAcentral